GACUUGUAAUGCUCUAUAUGCCUUUAUCACAUAAGUGAGCAAGGGAAACAUUUAUGGCUUUGGGAUGGGACUGUACGGUAUCAGCUUGUUGGUGAGGUAAUGGCUCACCAAGGCUAUGACGCCUAACUGGUUUGAGAGGAUGAUCAGUCACACUGGAACUGAGACACGGUCCAGACUCCUACGGGAGGCAGCAGUGGGGAAUAUUGCACAAUGGAGGAAACUCUGAUGCAGCAACGCCGCGUGGAGGAUGACACAUUUCGGUGCGUAAACUCCUUUUAUAUGAGAAGAUAAUGACGGUAUCAUAUGAAUAAGCACCGGCUAACUCCGUGCCAGCAGCCGCGGUAAUACGGGGGGUGCAAGCGUUACUCGGAAUCACUGGGCGUAAAGAGCAUGUAGGCUGGUUUGUAAGUUGGAAGUGAAAUCCUAUGGCUUAACCAUAGAACUGCUUCCAAAACUGCAGACCUAGAAUAUGGGAGAGGUAGAUGGAAUUUCUGGUGUAGGGGUAAAAUCCGUAGAGAUCAGAAGGAAUACCGAUUGCGAAGGCGAUCUACUGGAACAUUAUUGACGCUGAGAUGCGAAAGCGUGGGGAGCAAACAGGAUUAGAUACCCUGGUAGUCCACGCCCUAAACGAUGCACACUAGUUGUUGCUAUG
RNAcentral lists this ribosomal RNA (652 nucleotides) under uncultured Campylobacterota bacterium. Its description in RNAcentral is "bacterial SSU rRNA". It matches the Rfam family "Bacterial small subunit ribosomal RNA", at positions 158 to 830 of the family's 1533-position model. The record is from RNAcentral. Lineage: Bacteria; Pseudomonadati; Campylobacterota.